Molecule: ribosomal RNA, 245 nt
Filed under: uncultured archaeon
Lineage: Archaea
Description: partial 16S ribosomal RNA
Rfam family: Archaeal small subunit ribosomal RNA
Source: RNAcentral
UACCAGCCCCCUGAGUGAUAGGGACGAUUAUUUAGCCUAAAGCGUCCGUAGCCGGCUUAGAAAGUCUUUCGUCAAAUCUGACGACUUAAUCGUGAGUCUGCGGAAGAUACUACUAGGCUUGAGGGCGGGAGAGGUUGACGGUAGUCCAGGGGUAGGGGUGAAAUCCUAUAAUCCUUGGAGGACCACCAGUGGCGAAGGCGGUCAACUAGAACGCGCCUGACGGUGAGGGACGAAAGCUGGGGGAG